UUUUGGAAAAUGGGAGACCUAUCUAGACAAAGAAAUUAUAUUGCAAAAUGUAUUGAGAUCAAUAAUUGUAAGCGCCGUGUAUGUAAAACUUUCUUUAAAAACACAUUGGCUAUUAGUAAUCGACCUAUCGCAACUGUUAUAUCAAAGAAAAACCAAUCGGGAACGGUUGACGAAGAACUAAGGGGUAAACAUGGGAAACACAACAAAGUCAGCUUAGAUAUCAUUAAAAGCAUAAAAAAGCACAUAGACUCAAUCCCAAGGAUAUAUCCCAAGGAUAUAUACUGAUUGAUAUUAUUAUUCCAAGUGAUUGUCAGGAUCUCUCUUUAUUUUGUAAUAAAACAUUAUUAAUUAAA
Melitaea cinxia (Glanville fritillary) is the source of this 353-nucleotide long non-coding RNA. RefSeq lists it as uncharacterized. NCBI's taxonomy places the organism in Eukaryota, Metazoa, Arthropoda, Insecta, Lepidoptera, Nymphalidae. The transcript is spliced from 2 exons. The record is from RefSeq and is a predicted model, not a curated record.